ACUCGACUCAGUACACACAAAACGAAACCGAUAUAACUCGAACUGACUCACUGAAACAGGGCUGUGACUCGGCAAAGAACACUCGGAACUCGACAUAAACACAAACCCAGUUGCAGAACUCGACGCACUACUCAGAAAACGACUCAACAAAACAGCAACUCAGUCAAACUCGGGACAAAACAACUACAGACUCAGCUACGCACAGGCAACUCGGAAAACACGAACAAACAAAACUCGGUAAUAUUCCAACUAAGUAAACAACGAAAACGUGAUUUGGUGAUGGUUGGUUUUGAUUUUAAAACUAAAAAUAGCAUAC
This 316-nucleotide long non-coding RNA is filed under the name Daucus carota (carrot). RNAcentral's name for it is "long non-coding RNA (DCAR_LNC007558)". Lineage: Eukaryota; Viridiplantae; Streptophyta; Magnoliopsida; Apiales; Apiaceae. The record is from RNAcentral.